This 2041-nucleotide long non-coding RNA is filed under the name Homo sapiens (human). RNAcentral's name for it is "non-protein coding lnc-LARP1B-1:30". Lineage: Eukaryota; Metazoa; Chordata; Mammalia; Primates; Hominidae. The record is from RNAcentral.
GGUUUCUCCAGCACCUGGGUCCUGCUGGCAACCAGCAGCACCCAGUGGCCAGCAGCGUACUCUUUCACCUCUUCUUGGGUGACUUUGUGGAAUGCUCCAAUGUGACAUCUCCCUGUGAACGCCUUUCCUGACACCCUAAAAAGUGUCAGGAAUUUCCAGCAAGUUCCAGAGAGCAGGUUUCCAGCAAGUUUGGUCAGUAUGACACCACAGCGAUAUCUCUGCCAUUCACUGAACUUGGAUUCUUCCUUCUUCAGUGAGAGAUGUUCAAGAAAAAGAACAACUUCAGUGGAAGAAGAAGAAGAUAGGAGCCCAGGUCCUGUGUUUCACCAAGACAGCCGUGCAAAGCAGAUGCUGCCAAAAAGGUGCAAAGUGGUUUGUCAGCUCUUCUGCAUGUUCUAACAAAUUAGACAUGCAUCCCAAAAGGUUUCCUAGACUUUCCAUCACCACCAGUGAAUUCUGAGUGACAAUAGUGUGGAAUUUGGAAGAAUGGAAGAGAAACUGAAGUGGAGAGAUGGUGAAAGAGAAGAAAAAAUGAAGAAAGAUGCUUGCAAAAAUACUGCUGUGGGUCCUGAGAUGAGGAUUCUGGGAGGGCUGAAAUGGAUGCCCCUGACAGCUCCCUUUGAGUUCCUGUUCAUCUGAAGUACACCAGCUUUCUAGAUAUGCUGUCACUUUCCUUCUGCAGAGCCACAGUGGUGUCCUGUCUUCUCAGACCUCUUCUCACCUCAAAUCACUUAGGACUCGGCCACCAGACAGAUUUGGGAUUUCAGAACUUUUCAGAUGUUAGAAAGUUCUUUUCUAAAUGUGAUGAGGAAUUACGGAAUCAUAAAAUGGAAGCAGAGUUAAACUCAGACAUGUGGGCACUCAAGGCAAUUAGGAGCUUUCUGCGAUGAGAAAGGGAUCAGACUGAUCCUUAAGACUUUAUGCAACCCCAGAGUAUUGCAGCCACCUGCAUGCCGAAGGUGUCAAGAGUGUUCUCACUGCUGCCUAUAGGAGGGUCUUCAGCCUCCAGUGAUCCAAAGUACCAGGCUGACCUGUGACUGCUUCGGCCAACUGAAUAGGGAAGAGUGAUGCUGUGCUGUUUCCAGGCCUGUUCUUUAAAAGUACUUGGAAGCUUCUGCCUUGGCCUCUUUGUGCCUGAGUUGCUGUAUAAGAAUCUGACUACCUUGCUGGAGAGACCUUGUGGAGAAGACUUGACCUUAUAUGCAGAGGUAGAGGGGCCCUGGUUAGUCCAGCCAUCUAGCCAUCCUGUCAAAAUAGCAGGAGUAUGAUGGCCAAUGGAUCCAAAACCUAUCCUAUAUCUACAUGUUGGUGGCCACAUUAAUCUGACAUCUGACAGCAAGAGCGAUGAUUGGGUUCACUGGAAAUCUUUGUGAAGUACGAGUGAAGUCCUUGUGAAGUCAGAGUUUCCUCUUCAUGCCUCUACUCCUAUGCAGUUUGACCUCUCAGUGUGCAGCUGGUGAUAGAUGGAAACCCUUGUUCAUAAGCUUUGUGGCACUGUCGGCAGGAUGAGGGGACUUCUGGAUCCUCACUGGUCACUGUGGCAGAGUGGUUGGUGUUGUCUGCUCCCUAGACAGGAACCCACUGAAGAAUCUGACAUUUUUUGAUAUGCUGGCAUUCAUUGUUACAGCCCAUCAUCCCAGCCAUCAAUCCAGGACAUGGGGUCUGUGCCCACGGUGGGAAGGAGGAGGGGGAAGCUGGCUUUGUUCUGACGUUGGGCUUCUUCUGCUCCACCAGUACUUUCUGUGGGGGAAAUAGGUAAAGAAAUGGCUGUUCAGAUGAGAAGAUGUGUCAGUAAACUUUUGCUACAGUGAUGCUGCAAAACAAAUCACUGGUGACUUUCAGUGGCACACAGCAAUAAACAUUUAUUUAGCUCAGGGAUUGACAAUCUUUUUUUUUUUUUAAAGGGCCAAAUAGUAAAUAUUUUAGGUGUUUCAGGCCAUACAGUCUCUGAACUCUGAACUUGUAGCACAACAGUAGCCUUAGAUGCUAUGCAAAUGGAGGAGCAUGACUGUGUUCCAAUAAAACUUUAUUUAUGGACACU